AGAGACAUUAAUGAUGAAAAAAAAAAGGAAAAAAAAUGUUAAUACAAGAGUUACAAAGACAAAAGUUUUAUUUCUGUCGAAUUUUUUACGCAGUCAUCAGAAGGGUCCAGAUUUUCAUUUGAAAGCUUUUCAUAUACACAUACACAUUGAGUAAAUAUAUAGAUAUUUUAUUAUAUAUGGCUCCAGCAAUGCAGAUAAUGCAUCUAGUAAAAUGUACAAAGCCUGUCUCCCAAAGGAUUGGUGCGCACGAACAAAGUCAACACCUUCUUCAUACCAAGAUAGUUAAUGCAUUUUGCUCCAUAUAUUUUCAACAAUGUUGUUUGUGGUGACUGUUUAAAUUUAUUUGUGGGACAAAUUUAAAGACAUUGGUAGCACCAUCUGUACUCACAGCUAGAAAGCUGUCUACCGUUAAUUCACCCACACAUCUCAGUCGACAACAGUAGCUAUUCUUAGAGAAUUUUUUUUAUUUAAAAAAAAAAACAAAACAAGAAGAAUCUACACAAUUUCCCAGAAGAAGAAGAAGAAGGAAAAUGGAAAGGAGAGUAGUAAAGGAUCGUCGUACUUGCAUAUAAUAUAUGACCUUGUGGUUGUACUACUUGCACGUCACCAAUGAACGGAUGCCGACACUGUCUCAGCCACAAGCAUUAGACAUGAGACAUUUUUAUUGCAGCUUACCACAAAUAUUAUUAUAGAUGAUUUUUUAUUUCAUCAUAAUUAUACGUGUUAAGCUCUUAUGGUCUGUUAAUUAAUUGCUUGAUAUCUGUUUUUGAUUUACACGUUAUUGGAGCUAUUAAAAAAUAUAUGAGACCAAUCAACUAAAUUACGUCUCAUCUCUUGUUGAAAUUUGUAGAGUAAAUAGAGGCUCACUUCGGCUCGUCUCAAAAAAAUUCGCACGGAUCUUGUAACUAUGGUCUUGCAAAAAUUGCCGCCAAAUUAUACUAAGCUUGUCUUGGUAUUUAUACGAAUUAAUGCAACCUCGAGAAUUCCGAUAAAAGUAUUCAAGGAGAGUUGAAAAUUGCCAGAAGCCAUGGCAUUCUCGUGACGAACAGUCAGCGUAAUUUAAACUUUUCUUUUAUUCAAAAGUUGUGUGUACAAUUUUGUUCAUACGUGCUCAACGUAUCCAAAGAAUUUUUCAUGUUAACUUGCAAAGCUCACAUAUACUGCAGAGAUGGUAAACUUCUCACUGGAUAACUUUACUUAAACGUCAACACACAAGGCUUUAAUGCAAUUGUUUAUCUGAGAACUAUCAGAGAAGUCUUCGAAUGAAAAGAUGCCUAGGGGCAAUCCUCGUUCCCGUUCACGUCCUCGUGAUGCUUCUGGAGGCCACAUAGUCAUUUGAAACCCUUGUUUAUGAUGAAAAAUUUCCAACCAAGUUAUUUAAACUUGACCAUAAAGAUUCUUGCAUUAAAUCGAAUCCAUCAUGAUCCAUAAUUUGAAGACUAUUAUUACAUAACAGUAUAUAUUCAAAUGUGUUGGGUGUGUCAGAUUAUAUAAUUUUCCAUGAGAGAAGACAUGAGCGUCAACAUUAUUAGCAAAGACAGUAGAAAAAAAAAUUAUUCAAUGAUGGAAAAAAUAAAAAUAAAUAAAAAGAGAAUGAGCAGUUAUAAAAAAGUUCAACAAGAUAAAACUUGAGUAAAAAAGAUAAUGCAAAGUAGCAUUGAAGAAAGGACAAGGUCAUUUUACAUUAUGUACUUGGUGGAAUUCAAAUUUGAAUCGACAAUCGGAGCUAGAGAUUUUUUUACUUUUAAUUUUUUGUUUUUUUUUUUUGUCAGUGCAAGUUCUCAGAACAAAUAAUUGCACGAGGUAUUUUGCAAGGAUUGUAUGUGGUUGACUUCAUGAAGUACCAUGUUCCCCUCUUGGCUCGUAACUGUCGGCAUGCACCAACAAAGUAAGUUGACGACAGCAUAACAUAGGACAGUGUGGGGCUUCUUCUUUCAAGGCAAAGUGGAUAUGUAUUGUGCAGUAGUAGUGCCAUGUUGUAUAACUAUUACUAUAGGCAUUUAUACAUAUAGAGGAGGUAAAGAAAUCCGGGCGCGGAACCACCAAGCCAUUCGAUAGUGCAGUAUUGGCUGCUGGAACGUGAUUCAAUUUGGUGUCUCAUUCCCAACAGACGAUGCCUCCUUAGUUCGACUCGAGAAUACUGGUAUAUGUGCAAUACAUUGAGUAUGGCAAGCCUUUCGCAUCGUAUCAAUAUUCCAAUAGGCUUUCAAUUUAAAUUAUCGACGAUAUCAAUGUGGACGGAAAAAAAGAAGAAAAAAAAAAAAAAAAACAGGAGCCAUCGAUCUACAUCACUGUAUCAUUCAUCCAUCCACACGUACACAAAAUGAAUGAUAAACUUAUCUGGGCACCAAGGUACUGCAAGUUAACCGACGCGAGAGUUUUUCAUAUGAUUCCCAGAUAUGGCACCUGUCCAAACUCAUCGAUCGUAAUGCUUCGCGGUGGAAGAAGUUGCCGCCGUGAGGGAUAUUAAGUUUCUUUUUAAGAGUGGCUUCCUCCAUUAUUAGUCCAUGUACUUCAUCACUGAAAUUCCAUUAAGAGUUCUUUUUGAGGUAUGGAUGUGUAGUCUUUCUUUGGUGAGGUGUUAUAUUUUUUUUGGUACUUAUUGAGAGGCGGAGAAUAUACAUAUAUAUAUAUUUGCAUCAACGAAAAAUCUUACUUUAAAUCCUUUGAGACCCAAUCGGUUCGUUUCUUCAACCGAGGGCGUCGAUACCAAUUAAAUUAAACACGCUGGAGGAUCUUUUCGUGAUGUCGGUUCAGGUGUAUUCCACUGAGAAAUAUCGAUCUUGAAAUGCGUGGGAGUAUAAAACCUUGUAAACUAACAGUCGUGAGUUAAGGGGGUAUGACACCUUGCGGCACCAACUUUUCACCCUUCGUGUGUAAACUUGCUUUAAUAAGCCGACCGCUCUUUGAAAUGAUGGAAGGCCUAUGUAAUUCGUUUGCUUUUGAAAACCAGAAGAUGUAAUGUGGCACAUUUAUGACACACCUCAGUGCACAGUUGGAGUGUAUAUGAAAGGAUGUCUUAUGCUGAUGAAUAACAGUCGGUGAGUCAAGAGCAUGAUGCAGAAAGACGAGGAGUUUUACGCUUAAUACGAAUAGUUCAUCUAACCAGGUAGAUAAUUAACAAAAAAUCAUCAAAGAGCUUGUUUGAAGUUUCGAAAAUAAUAUCUUCCUGACAUCUCGAACUCGCUUUAGUAAGAGGAUUCCAAUUGCUUUGCUACCAACGACUUGAAGCGUAUGAAUACCAAGCGUGCAGAAAAUUAGAGGAAAAACAAAAGAUGAAAAAUAUUACUGCUACUUUGCCAGUAUAAAUACAAAAAAAUUCUACAGAGAAUGUAUGCAAGUGACAAAUACCAAUAUUGAUGAUGUCAAAAGCGGAGGGAAGCUCAUAGUAAAAGCGUUUGUUUACUGCUUCGAUGCAGCGAUCGAAACAUGCUCGGCAGGACAUUUAACUGCACAAUGGCAUCAUGUCUAUAUGCGGUUUGACAGGAUGAGGAAGUAGUGAAGAGACAAAGUCAGUGUUAUAGUACAAAACAAGAUAAGAGAUGGUGUGCCAAUUGCUAAAAUGUUAAAGACCUUUUAUCAUUGUGGAGCACAUCGAUAAUCGAUUUGUGUAUAUAUACAUAUGAAACCUAGUUAAGUCCAGCCAAAUAUUUACUCGUUGUCAUCGGGUACAUGUUGCCUAUACCCAAAGACUUGGAUACACUCUGUAGACGAUGUCUCAACGAUCUGUUGACGUGUUCUCCCAAGUAAUUGGUCACACAUGUCAGGUGACAGUUUGAUUAACCAAUCAAGCAGUUUUACGAAGUGCUUGGCGUGCAUAUAAUUUGUAUACGAGAGAAGACAAAACUAUUGCUGCUUGAAUGUUGGAAGAAUUCUCGGCGGUGGCAGCACUUCCUUGUUAGUAAUACUUUCAGUACAAAAAUAAGUGGGGAGAUGCAAUGUCUACAUUAUAGCGCAGAAGCAAAAUACAAUGCAACAUAAAGUUUGCAUUUGAGAGCUGUGCAUUGAGCUGAAUGGAACUAAAAAAUUUUAAAAAAUCAUCAUUUCAAUUUUCAACACAAUUUAUUUAACCUGAAACUUUUUAUUUUAUUAUUAAACUCGAUUAAAUAUUAUUUUAAUAAAAAAUAAUUUAUA
RNAcentral lists this long non-coding RNA (4134 nucleotides) under Aphidius gifuensis. RNAcentral describes it as "uncharacterized LOC122851599, transcript variant X7". Lineage: Eukaryota; Metazoa; Arthropoda; Insecta; Hymenoptera; Braconidae. The record is from RNAcentral.